Long non-coding RNA from Cryptomeria japonica (Japanese cedar), 1225 nucleotides. RefSeq lists it as uncharacterized. The record is from RefSeq and is a predicted model, not a curated record. The transcript is spliced from 2 exons. Lineage: Eukaryota; Viridiplantae; Streptophyta; Pinopsida; Cupressales; Cupressaceae.
CACAAAAAUAUAAUGCUAUUACUUGAUAAAAGUAGAUCAACAUCCUAGAAGUGCCAAUAAGCGAUGGAAACCCUCCAUCACGCUCUCUUCUUUGCCCCUCACAAGGAAUCCCUUCUCCACUCGAUUGCCUCCGUUGGAGUCUGAUUCUGUCCAUUGCUUGCUUAUAUAGAAAUUCUGUGCAGUGAGGCAUCUAGAAUGUUGGCUGAAAGCACCUAUGAAUACCCAUUUGCCCUCUUCCACCUCUGUUGAACAUAUUCUGUCAAAAUGGUCCACCUUUAUAACCAUUUCCAUACGCGGAGACUGACAAUUUAUAACCAAACAGAGCAUAAUGGCGUUGCCAUUGGAGAAGCACUUCUGUUGCAAUUUUAUGAAGUGGGAAGAGCUGAGUUUCUUCUUAGCAAAGGAAUGGAGGACACGGAGAUUUGGAAAGGCCGAAGAGUUUAAAAGUGCCCCUGCACCAGUGCCAUCUUCCACUCCUCAAGCCUGUUUUUGCUGUAUCUACCCUUCUCCUGAUGCUUCAAAAAGGCAGCUGCAUAGAUACCUUUUCCCUGAACCACAUGGCGGAGAUCAUCAGGUUGAACUUGGUAGAAAACAGGAAUAAUGGGUGUGCCAGAUUUGAGCAUGAAGGACAACUCAGCAAGACACCAAGCUGAUUCUGCAUAUGCACGAGAAAAAAUUGCUACUUGAAUGGAAGCACUAGUUAUUGCUUUUUGAGGUUCCCAAGGGAAGAAAUCCCCCAACUGGAGCUCCUCCGAAUCAAGAAAGACCCUGAUACCCAUAGCAUGGAGGGGAUUACAAAUAGCUCUUGCCAGAGUGUGCUUCACAUCCGAUCCACGAUGAUUUAUAAACACAUCGCAGGGCAGCUUCUGUAGAGGUGAUGAGGAUGUAGCAGAAGUAGAACUAGAGGCAGAGACAGAGGCAGACAGGGGAGGAAGUCCAUGAAAAGCAUAUUUAUUUUGGCUCUGUGAUUGAAGAGCAGUGGAGGAAGUAGAAGCGAUAGAAUUCGAUUCAACCAAACACAAGAGAACAGUAAUGAAAGCAGGGGCAGUGCAGGGGAGGUCAACGCACUCUACAAGGCAAACAGGGGAAUAAAAAAUGAUUGUGGUUUGCGUGGGGAUUUGUCAUCUGUCUCACGCUAAAGCUUUUGUGUGCUUUGAGUAAGGACUUUAUAAUGUAUUCGUCCAAGUUUGAAUAAUUUAAGAGGGGCCGAACUCAAAUUUUUUAA